Brassica rapa (field mustard) is the source of this 6226-nucleotide long non-coding RNA. RefSeq lists it as uncharacterized. NCBI's taxonomy places the organism in Eukaryota, Viridiplantae, Streptophyta, Magnoliopsida, Brassicales, Brassicaceae. The record is from RefSeq and is a predicted model, not a curated record.
GUUUUGUAAACCUGUUUAAUUGUAAACCGGUUAAUUGUAAACCGGUUAAUUGUAAACCGGUUAAUUGUAAACCGAUUAAAUUUAUAAAACAGAUUUCUAUUUGGUUAAUUCAUUUUAUUUUGUGAACCGAAUUAAACCAAUAAACCAUUAUUAAUUAAUAUAUCAAUUCUAAUUAAAAACUAAAUUAUUUUAAAAAUAUAUAAAUUAUAUAAAUAUAAUUAAUAUACGCUAUCAUACUGUUCUAAUAUAACAACAUUUAUACAACUGCUAUAAUAGAGUGGACACCUAAGAUAGCUGGGGCAGACAUAGCGGUUUCAAUAAUGCUAACAUUAGCAUAUGAUAGUUGUAUUCUUACGCUAAGAAUGAACAUUUUUCUUGUAGUGACUGUCUCUCUGAUAUGACUUGAAUAUGAUCGAGUAGCUUCUGAAUGACUAUGUAGGCUCUUGUGUGAAUGUAGCAAUCUUACUCUUCAAGUCUUCAACAAGUGCCUCAUCAAAGAAGUGGCAUAGAAAUGCAUUCUUGAUAUCGGCCCUGGAUGUGAGAGAUCCUGGCUGUAGAUGCUUAAGCCAGUACGAAGCCUCUCCAGCAAGUGAGUACUUGAAGAGCUUGCAAAAUAGGUAGUCCUCAGGGAUUCCAUUGGCUUUAAUAGCAGAAACUAGAUCGUUGAACCUUUCUAGAUGGUCCAUAGGAUGCUCGUGUGAUAACCCACAGUAUGGUGUCUGUCCCAUGAGUGUGAAGUACUUAAGCUUCAACUCAAAGUCUUGCCUCUGUAUGGAUGGAGGACGGAUAGCAGAUCUGUUCUCGUAGUACUAAUUUGACCUGUUGUAAUCAGAUAAUGUCCUCAGUCUAGCAGCCUCGUCUACAGCUUGAGCAGCUGCAAUAUCAGCAUCGGUAUCAGGGAUUACAACCCCUUGAUCAUCUAUCUUCUGACCUGAUGCAUUACGCAGAUGAUCCUCCUGGUCAUGCAGGUUUCCAGUCGCGUCAUGAAUUAAAACUAGUGUCACAACCAUGUCUCGCGGCUCAGUAUCGAUCGAUGUCCGAGUGGAAUGUCGAUCGAUGUCUGGUGGGUAUGGGGGGGGGUCGAUGGAAGAAUGGUCUCGGUCGACGGUGGAAGGCGAGUGUCGUUCGACGAGCAGGUGUUGUUAUCGACCAAUGUGUUACAUUUUUCUUUGCGGAUGGUGCGUUCUAGAAGUGCAGGAUCUGAAAAGAGAAGUGCAUGUUACUUGUUGCUUCUAGUACUGAUAGGCAUGCACCUGAAAAGACAAGAAUGUUUUUUUAUCAAUUUUUGCAAGAAACAGUUACUUAGACUAAAUGUAGCUAAAUUUGAUCUAAUGGAGAUCGAAGCUCCCCGGCAACGGCGCCAAAUUUUAUAUCACUCAAAUUACCCUAUAGUGAUUUACUCUCUCAAAGUAAGAUGUUCAAUUGUAAUACUUAGGUAUCGAAUUCACAUGGAGCUAAUGCACACAUUAGAUCUAUCUAGUUGUGUAGUUAAGCUAGUCAAGUAGGUUUUAAAGCAGUAAAUAACAAGGGUGAACAAGUAAUUGUUCAAUUGAUUGAUUUGGGUUUUAAGACAGAUAUGGGAAACGUUAGACUUAGGGUUUCUAUUCAAACAAUCAAGAUUAUAGAGAUAUAGAUUACUAAGCAUAUAUGGAUAUUCUAGAACUCAAACAAUAAGAAAAGUCAAUCAACUUUCGUAUAUUUAGACUAUCUAUCGCCAGAUCUAGGAUCUCAGCUGUCGCUUUGUGUCGACCGAUUCCAACAAUGGGGUGUCGAUCGAUACACCUUUCAGCCCGUCGAUCAAUGCAACUAGCGAGUUGUCGAUCGAUGAACCUUCCAGGGAGCGUUAUCGCAAGGGUUUGACGUGUUCACUAGGUUAAACUAAAUCAGCUUCCACUUGUUUCUAGCAAUCAUAGCACAAUGUAAACUAAUCAGACAUAGAACCAAACUUCUGCUUGCGCCGUACUAUCUAAAGGCAAGGUCCUAGUUAGCUACUCUAGAACACAUGUAUUAAGAACAGUUUAGUUGAUUAAUAUUCCUAACACUUAGCAAUUCUAUAUUUUGGGCUAAUCCCUUUUGAAUAUCUAAACCCUAAAUCUAACAAGAAGAACUACUCAUGCAUAGCUAAGGAAUUCAUAACAAAGAGAUAUGAAAACUGCAUAAAAUAGAAUAGAGUAGACAAAUUUGAGUUCCAAUCACAAAUCUCUGAAAGAGUUAUUGGAUCUUCUCUCAAAACCUAAAACUCUAAGUAUUUUGCUGUAUGAAAGUAAGAAAUCGUGUGUUGCCUAGAACAAUGGCAGAGCACAUAUAUAUUAGGUUAAACUCACCAGGGGUAAUAUGAUAAUUUUUGUGGGACUUGGGCUUAAAGUCGGCUGGAACCAUUAUGGCCUCUGACCGCUUCACCGUCGAUCGACAACAUGGAGUGUGUGUCGAUUGAUUAUUGCCUUCUCCCAUCGAUCGAUAGUCAUGGUCAAUGGUCAGCUAUGUAUCUUUAUCAUUUUAUCUCCAAAAUGCACCAAAAUCACAAUUUUUCUCCAAAUCACUCCAAAACCUGAAAACAUAUUAAAAAGACUCCAAAACAAAUAUAAAAUAUUUAAAAACACCUAUAUACCAUAGCGAAAAAUGGGUAAAAUCUAUGGUAUAUUAAUAUUGAUUCCUCUAAAUAAUCCAUUCAGUAUAUUCCAGUUUCUGCUGCAGCUCCUCCAUUGUUUUGCUUAUCCAAGCAAUGUUGUUGUGGAGAAGAUAAAAGAAUGUCCAUCGUUUGGUGCAUCUUGUCGUACAUCUUAUCUUGGUCAAUCAUGCCUUUCUUUAUUAUCUCCAUGACCUCAUCUUUAGUGUAUAUGUCCUCUUCUGGCGAAGGUGUAAGUGUAUGAUGAACUCCAGGCAUAUGAAAACAUCCCUCUUACCGUGGUCUCUUGCCUCAUCACCAUUGCUCGUUGAAUGUGGUCCUCACCACCCAAGACCACCUCACUCCUGCUUCAGCGCUAUUGCUCAUCUCAUGUGGUCGUCAUUGUCUUGCCUCAUCGCUCAGGACUACCUUUCUUCUAUCUCAUUGCCUUGACUCAUUGCCGACACCAUCUGUCUUCUGCUUCUUCAAUCAUAAUUGUUGAAUAACAAAAAGGAAAAAACUCCUACUUUCUCUCUCAAAGAUUUGGAACUGAUAAAAAGGGAAAAGGAGAAAAAAAUAUAUCCCCGUAAAGAGAAGAGAGAAACAUGCAGCUGAAUUACAGCCAUAAUUUUGAUCAUGCUAUAUACAUUUUGAUAUCUUUGUAAUUUUACUGAAUUUUUAAGUUUUAAAUCAAAAUUUACAUCUCAACACAAUUUUUUUAAAUUAGUUUUUUUUAUUAAAACUAGAAAAGUAUUUACUAUGAGGUACACUGCGGAAUUAAAGUGAUUUCUCAUGGAUUAGCCAAAAAUACGGAAUUUGGAUAGAAAUAUAUAUAUAUUCAAAUACCAAUUUUAAGGAGGUUUGUCACUAAAAAUAGAUUAGUUUCAAGGUAUGAUAGAUUUAGCUUCUUAUAUAUAGACACAUACUACUCUUCUAAAUUUUCAGAAUCACACAUAUAGUUCUAAAAAAAAUAAAAUAACACAUUUACUACUCUAUAUUCUAAAGUUCGUAAAACACCUUCAUUCUAUUUCUACCUUUUAAGAUGAGCAAACAGCUUCAAGUCACAUUCAUCGUUUUAACUAUCUUCAUCGUUUUCGUUUUAGAAGUGGUGGGAGAUAGAGAUAGUGAUAGUCAGUUUGGCUGUGAGGAGAGACUGAAUAUGACUACUGAGGACACUUGUUCACGACUAGAGUGUCAAUUUCAGUGUACUUUGAAAAGAAAGGGGUGGGCCACUUGCUUUAAGGAUGCGGACGACCUUUACAAGGGGACCCCCGUUUACAAGUGUCUUUGUGCUUAUUUUUGUCCUAAAUAAUUUCAACAACAUUUAAGCCUUAUCUAUGAGCUUUAUAAUAGAGUAAGAAUCUUGUUGAUCCAAUAUCUAUCUUUAUAUAUAAAGUAUAGUUUCAUCCCUUCUCCUUGCGCCACGUCCUCUGCCACGUAGAUAAGUCGAAUUCUCCUAUGUCGACACGUGUCACUCGGAUUUUUAUCUCUCUGGGUUUUGGAUCAUCUUUAAUCUCGUCGUUUAGUCUUCUGUGCUGAUUAACCGAAACGUUUCGAGCAGAUUAAUUCCCUUUAUCUCCUUCUUAACUCCAUCAACCACAAUCCUACAUUCAAUUCAUCUUUCUCUUCUGCAAGGCGGUUAGUCUUCUACUCUGGAAAUUCAUUCUCUCAAUCCGUGAAAACAAUGGAGUUUUAUCUGAUUAUCGAGAUGAUUAUCUAAACCAACAAUGGAGUUUCGUGAGGGUUAUGUGAGACGAAUCUUCACGAUGAAUCUCUGGAUCUAAACACGUUUUUAAUCUACAAUCAGAUCGAGUUCAGACAUAGAUACAAGCUCCAGUAAGAGAAAGUUGAUCCCACACGGUAAUGGCAACGAGUCUACGGCUUCGUCGUCUACAAAUUCCAAAUCAAAGGUUUUUAUUUCAAAAAAUCAAAGGUUUUUAUCUCACAAUCUCUCUCUUGCCUCUGACUAUAAAAACUGUUUUUCUUUAUGGAUUCAUGAACCGAAUGCAUAAGGGAAUUUGAGUUUUAGUUUAGUGAAAGAUAUUCCCUUAGAGAUGUUGAUUUGGAGUUUAUAAUCAGGUUUCAGGAGAUUACAUUCAAGUUAGAGCUAGAAGGGGUCAGGCAAGCAACAGAUAGCCACAGCCUCGCUGAAAGAGUACUAACACCUUCGAGCAACCGGUUUUUUUUUUGUCCCUUUUUCUGUUCAACUUGACAAUGUUGAUGUUUUUGUUUGUUUGCCAGGCAAUAGGAGAAAAUAUCAGCGAGAUGAUGACUUUACUUCAAGAUCUGGUUCUUGGUGGCAAUCGGAUAACAGGGAAGCAAUUAUGCUUAAUAUGUGCAGUCCUUGCAGAGACAAGACGAUUUCUUCUUCAAUGCUUUGUUUCGAUCUGCAAGGCGGUGUUUUUUGUGUAUAAAUAUAUGUGAGUAUUUCUCUUCUUAGACUCCAUCUUUGACCUAGCAAAUUUCUUCAACUGAUUCUUUUUGAUUGAUCAUGACAAACUAUUGCUUCGUUUUAUAUAUUGUAUCUGAGGGGCAGGAGUGUGUGUGAGAGCAUAGAUAGUGUCAUAGUGAGAGAGGAGAGAAUGAAUGGUGGUGAUGAGGUCGGAGCUUCAUCGUUUUAGAUUGGAGAUUCUCUCAGGUAUUUGGUGAGGGCAGUGUUGGCGAAGAAUUUCAAGAAGGUCCAAAAGAAGCACAAAUAUGAUUCUGUGAAACCGAAGAGACCAUAAAAAGAAAGGAUGAGGAAGAUAGAAAGAAGACAUGGAGAAAUCAAAGAAAUAACUUUUUAUGAAAGGUAAAAACGCUUCUGUUGUUUGUUUCACAACCUAAAGGUUCAGACUGUUGCAGCAUUUACCAUUAAAUAUUCACUACUUAUCAUCACAUUUUAUGCAGUCUAUAGUGGAUGGAGUUAUGUCAGAUGAUGUUGCUUGGUUAUUGAAUCGUAGUCACGACUACUCAUUUGUGGGCUUACAUGGCUUAUCCCAGCCGAGAAUAUAUGAUAAGGAAUUUGAACUGGGGGAGGAAGACUAAGAAGUGAUGCAACUCCUUAUGUGAGAUGCCUGCCAAUCCAGAACCAACAUGGAGGUUUUGUGAGAGGUGGUUAAGGCAGAGGCCAAGCUGAUGGUGGCAAAGGGAAUAAAGAUGGCCCACAAAUUGUGCCUAACAGUUGGAUUGAAAAAUGGAAAAAGCUCUACCAUGGUAUUAGGAAGAAUGUGUAGACAACAAUAGCUGAAGGAUUGUUGCAGUUGUGGAUUAUCAGAUGAACACACUCCUAUCUUUCUAGGAGCAGUCAGAGCUAAAGCCUUUGUUGCUCAGAUUUGCAGUGAUCUUUUUCAUAAUCAGUGGCUACAUGAGAGUGUUUCUGCUGAGUUAGGAUUUAGAGUCUGCAACAAAUGUACGAUAGGUUAAGGCUAUUUUAUUAUGCGGGGAAGAUGAGAAUAAUUCCAUCUCCAUCAGUAGCUUAACUCGCUUAACAUUCAAGAUUGUGGUUAGAGUUGUUUAUCAUCAAAAACCAAAACCCAAGUAGAAACAUGUUCCAAAAGUGAUUUACAAAAUCUUCUUUCUAUUAGUUACUAAUACAUGAAUAUGUUUUUUUAAUUGAUAUAAAAUGGUUAUUGUUAUGUU